This 141-nucleotide small nuclear RNA is filed under the name Chrysemys picta bellii (western painted turtle). RNAcentral's name for it is "U2 spliceosomal RNA (ENSCPBG00000003835.1)". It matches the Rfam family "U2 spliceosomal RNA", at positions 44 to 185 of the family's 192-position model. From Rfam's summary of the family: U2 is a small nuclear RNA (snRNA) component of the spliceosome (involved in pre-mRNA splicing). Complementary binding between U2 snRNA (in an area lying towards the 5' end but 3' to hairpin I) and the branchpoint sequence (BPS) of the intron results the bulging out of an unpaired adenosine, on the BPS, which initiates a nucleophilic attack at the intronic 5' splice site, thus starting the first of two transesterification reactions that mediate splicing. Lineage: Eukaryota; Metazoa; Chordata; Testudines; Emydidae. The record is from RNAcentral.
UCUAAUAAAAUUUAAAUCUGAUAUGUCCUUUAUUUAAGGACUGUAUAUUAAAUUAAUUUUUGAAACAGGGGGUUAGAACAGCAGCUUGCACUGUCUGCCCUAUGUAUCGGCCUGGUAUUGCAGUGUCUCCAGGAACGGUGC